RNAcentral lists this long non-coding RNA (382 nucleotides) under Brassica napus (rape). RNAcentral's name for it is "long non-coding RNA (BNAP_LNC023787)". The record is from RNAcentral. Lineage: Eukaryota; Viridiplantae; Streptophyta; Magnoliopsida; Brassicales; Brassicaceae.
CCGCCGCCUCCACCUCCUCCUCUUCCUCUCACUAAAGCACAUUCAAUCAUUCCUCCUCCACCGCCUCCCCCAAGUUAUGGAUCGCCACCUCCUCCAAGUUAUGAACCUCCAGUUCCUCCACCACCGCCUCCUUUUAGUAAAACUUCCCCUCCACCACCACCACCACCACCUCCAUUUAGUUCUGGUGGGCCUCCGCCUCCACCACCACCUCCAUUUAGGUCUGGUGGACCUCCACCUCCACUUCCUACACCAAUGAGUGCUCCACCUCCACCACCACCUCCAUUUAGGUCUGGUGGACCUCCCCCUCCACCUCCAACUCCGACACCAAUGAGUGCUCCACCUCCACCACCUCCUCCGAUGCGUGGAGGAGCCCCACUGCCAC